RNAcentral lists this ribosomal RNA (413 nucleotides) under Rhygoplitis sp. 1 JCB-2006. Its description in RNAcentral is "partial 16S ribosomal RNA". The record is from RNAcentral. Lineage: Eukaryota; Metazoa; Arthropoda; Insecta; Hymenoptera; Braconidae.
GUYUUAAUGGAAAUUWUUUUAAGUCGGGUCUGCUCMNAUGAGAAAUUUAAAUAGCUGCMGUAUUAAUGRCUGUACAAAGGAUGCMUAAUCAUUAGUUUUUUAAUUGAAAACUGGAAUGAAGGAUUUAAUGAAAUAUAAACUGUUUCAAAUUUAAAAAAUUAAUUUUUUUUUUAAAUAAAAAAAUUUAAAUUUUUUUUAAAGACGAGAAGACCCUAUAGAAUUUUAUUAAUUAAUAAUAUUUUUUAUAUAUUAAGUAAUUAAUUUAAUUGGGGAAAUUUUAAAAUUUAAUUAAUUUUUAAUUAAAAUAAACAAAAAUUGUUGUAUAAGUAUAAUUUUUUAAAAAAAUAAAUUAAAUUACCUUAGGGAUAACAGCAUAAUUUUUUUUUUAAGUUCAAAUUUAUAAAAAAGUUUAU